RNAcentral lists this small RNA (562 nucleotides) under Pongo abelii (Sumatran orangutan). RNAcentral describes it as "processed transcript". The record is from RNAcentral. Lineage: Eukaryota; Metazoa; Chordata; Mammalia; Primates; Hominidae.
AGUAACUGCCCCAACCACUACCACGUCCCCAAGUGCAACGGGACCCACGGAACUACAGGGUCCUGCUGAGCUCAGGAGCUGCACGGAAUGGUGGCAGUCACCUUGCCAGUGCAGCAGGCAUGGAUCAGACUGCAAGCUAGGGGCACAAGGCAUCAGUUGGGAAGAGGGGACGCACAGCUAGGCUUGAGGCCUCUUCAUCGGGGUAAGUACCAGGGAGAAGGAGGGGGAGGUGCGUCCAGUAAGAAGCCUGAGCUAAACCUGUCACCCUCUCAGGAGUUCUGAGAGUGGUCUCUAUAUUCCAUUAGUCCAUCCAGGGAUUUGUAUACAUUCAUCCCUGGGAACCCAUCAAAGUCACCCCUUUAGGCAAGGAGAGGGUCUGAAACUCAGCUGGAAGGAAGAAGACUCAUUGAUUCCCCUGACCACCUUUUCUUCUCUUCUCUUACACAGAUGUCCCCAGGCCCCCCAGCCCAGGCCCAGCAUAAAGGCCGUGUUGGGGGGCCCCCCUGACCCAAGGGGGGCUUCAUGCGCCACGUGCAGGCGGAGCCUUCUCCAUCCUCAGAGC